Molecule: ribosomal RNA, 253 nt
Filed under: uncultured bacterium
Lineage: Bacteria
Description: partial 16S ribosomal RNA
Rfam family: Bacterial small subunit ribosomal RNA
Source: RNAcentral
UACGUAGGGUGCGAGCGUUAAUCGGAACUACUGGGCGUAAAGCGUGCGCAGGCGGUUCGUUGUGUCUGAUGUGAAAGCCCCGGGCUCAACCUGGGAAUGGCAUUGGAAACUGGCGAGCUAGAGUGUGGCAGAGGGGGGUGGAAUUCCGCGUGUAGCAGUGAAAUGCGUAGAUAUCAGGAGGAAUACCGGUGGCGAAGGCAAUCCCCUGGACCUGUACUGACGCUCAUGCACGAAAGCGUGGGGAGCAAACAGG